AUUCUAAUUAUUAUUUUGUAGUUUUUUUGUUUGCUUGAAUUUUUGUACUAAGCUUUGAUAAAACCCUUUGGAACAAGUAUAUUCCUCAGCUUUUUGUCCAAGGAUUGACUUAUUUACUAUGCUUAUUUACACAUGAACAUAAACUAUAUUUAUGUUGUUCUUUACUACUGGAAGAAUAGAAGGUGUUUUUGUGAGUCAGUUGCGACAUGAUUUUUCAUUUUAUGCUUUCCAUGGAAUAGAAAUUUUUAUGUCAUGGUUUGUUUUUUUUUUAAUAUCGCGAAUCUGUUUUGAAGAGAUUCAGAUUUCAGUUUAAAAAUGUUGGGUAAGAUACUCCAAAAAGCAAUGUUUUUUUUUAACUUGAAGGAUGUACUGAUACUUAUUUCUGAGGUUACACAUUGGUAAAUUUAAAAAAUAACCUUUAAAGCAAGUUUUUUGUAACCAAAGGAAAACCAGAAAAUUCUGUUGGUGUAAAUCAGAGGCAGGGAUAAAAAGAAAUAAUAAUAAUAAGAAAGGCAGGGAAUGAAUUAGAUGAAAACCAGAGGAAAACAUUGCUAUUAUAAUCAUGCUACACACACACACGGGGGAAGGCUCUUCUUGCAAAACACACACUUAAAAAAGCGGGGAUUUACUACGCACCACAAACAACAUAACCUGCUGUUUACUACAAGAAGAGUAAACAAACACUAGGAACCAACUCACAGCUCCUUUUCAUGCAAUUCCUCUCUCUGCUGGCAGGCCAGGGCUGCAUCUCUGAAAACAUAUUGGAAAUAAAUCACAAGAAGCUCCAUUCAGAUGAAGCAAAGCGUUGUAAAUAUGAAUUAAUCAUGUGUGAAUGGCCAGCAAAGACGGGCCGUGUGUCUUCCUCACGCAAAGCAAUGAUUUGAUGGAGCCAGCCUCUUCCUCUGAAUAAUACAUGGAUUGUUUUUGCUUGGGAGAGACACGAGGGAAUCAGAACGCCAGGAUGGUUCGAGUUGGGAGGGACAUUGCACUUUUGGGGGCGUCUCCAUCCAGGGAAUUUCGAGGGAAAGCGAAGUGUUUAUCCUGCUGGGAACCACGAGAGCGCAGCAUUGCCCUUCGCUAGGCUGCUGCUCACAGGGAGAAUGCGGGUUCCUUGUAGGUGAACGCAAAUUACACAACCCACGAGGUGGAAAGUGGAAAGUCCUGCGCUUUCUUGACGGAAUACAGGCCGUUGUGAGUCACCAUCAGGGCCAGGAUGGCCAGGUCAGACAAGGAUGUCUUCAGGGAGCCAGCAGGGCUCUGCAUGUGCUGAAUGGAGUGGUCCCAAACUCCUCAGGAAUAAGUGACUGCAUCAGAGAGAAGAGAGGGAAUCGGGUUCAAAAGCAGGGCUGGGUGGAAUCUGCAUUUCUGUGACCUCCUGGGAAGUGAAGUGCCUGGUGGCCAGUGGUCCCUGCACACCAGAGCCAGCUCCACCACCUCUGUGUGCUCCAGCGUUUUCCUCUGGAUCCCAUGGCCACGCUCCUGAGACGAGUGCCUGUGCCAUUCAUCACACCGGCAGCACGAGAGCAACUGGAAAAAGUGUCUGGAAUUUAUCACCGAUGGCAGGAGCCUUUGUCUGUAAUAAAAAACAUUUU
RNAcentral lists this long non-coding RNA (1592 nucleotides) under Zonotrichia albicollis (white-throated sparrow). Its description in RNAcentral is "lncRNA (ENSZALG00000010135.1)". The record is from RNAcentral. Lineage: Eukaryota; Metazoa; Chordata; Aves; Passeriformes; Passerellidae.